This 433-nucleotide ribosomal RNA is filed under the name uncultured bacterium. RNAcentral describes it as "partial 16S ribosomal RNA". It matches the Rfam family "Bacterial small subunit ribosomal RNA", at positions 29 to 507 of the family's 1533-position model. The record is from RNAcentral.
AACGAACGCUGGCGGCAUGCCUAACACAUGCAAGUCGAACGAGACCUUCGGGUCUUGUGGCGCACGGGUGCGUAACGCGUGGGAACCUGCCCUUAGGUUCGGAAUAACUCCCCGUAAGGGGUGCUAAUACCGGAUAAUGUCUUCGGACCAAAGAUUUAUCGCCUUUGGAUGGGCCCGCGUUGGAUUAGCUAGUUGGUAGGGUAAAAGCCUACCAAGGCGACGAUCCAUAGCUGGUCUGGGAGGAUGAUCAGCCACACUGGGACUGAGACACGGCCCAGACUCCUACGGAACGCAGCAGAGGGGAAUAUAGGACAAUGGGCGAAAGCCUGAUCCAGCAAUGCCGCGUGAGUGAUGAAGGCCUUAGGGUUGUAAAGCUCUUUUACCCGGGAUGAUAAUGACAGUACCGGGAGAAUAAGCUCCGGCUAACUCCGUG